RNAcentral lists this ribosomal RNA (322 nucleotides) under uncultured archaeon. Its description in RNAcentral is "bacterial SSU rRNA". It matches the Rfam family "Archaeal small subunit ribosomal RNA", at positions 321 to 648 of the family's 1478-position model. The record is from RNAcentral.
CCCUACGGGGCGCAGCAGGCGCGAAAACUUUACAAUGCGGGAAACCGUGAUAAGGGAACUCCGAGUGCCCGUUAAAUCGGGCUGUCCACCAGUUUAAAAACUGGUGAAGAAAGGGCCGGGCAAGACCGGUGCCAGCCGCCGCGGUAAUACCGGCGGCUCGAGUGGUGGCCACUAUUACUGGGCUUAAAGCGUUCGUAGCUGGUCUGUUAAGUCUCUGGGGAAAUCUACCGGCUUAACCGGUAGGCGUCUCAGGGAUACUGGCAGACUAGGGACCGGGAGAGGUGAGGGGUACUCCAGGGGUAGGAGUGAAAUCCUGUAAUCC